This 253-nucleotide ribosomal RNA is filed under the name uncultured bacterium. Its description in RNAcentral is "partial 16S ribosomal RNA". It matches the Rfam family "Bacterial small subunit ribosomal RNA", at positions 524 to 776 of the family's 1533-position model. The record is from RNAcentral.
UACGUAGGAGGCAAGCGUUGUCCGGAAUUACUGGGCGUAAAGCGCGUGUAGGUGGUGGGACAAGUCUGCUGUGAAAGCGCCUGGCUUAACCGGGCGAGGUCGGCGGAAACUGUCGCACUCGAGGACGGUAGAGGUAGGUAGAAUUCCCGGUGUAGUGGUGAAAUGCGUAGAGAUCGGGAGGAAUACCUGUGGCGAAGGCGGCCUACUGGGCCGGACCUGACGCUGAGACGCGAAGGCGUGGGGAGCGAACGGG